Molecule: unclassified non-coding RNA, 1195 nt
Filed under: Octopus sinensis (East Asian common octopus)
Lineage: Eukaryota; Metazoa; Mollusca; Cephalopoda; Octopoda; Octopodidae
Description: non-structural maintenance of chromosomes element 1 homolog, transcript variant X2
Source: RNAcentral
CGAGAGAAAUUUGUACGAAAGUAAAUACCGGAAGUGAAACCCUUGAAACGUAAAGCGGGAAGCAUUUCUGUCGACUUUGGACUUCGUCGAGAGAGAAAUAUCUUUAGGAAGAUUUUAUUUUUUUUUUUAGUCAUUCAAAGUUGAAGGGAAAAUGUCUGAAAUGAAACCACAACAUCAUGUGUUUUUACAAUAUUUCAUGUCAAAAGGGCUUGUUGACUCAAAAGGAGUUCGUAACCUCUUCAAGUUAUGUUGUAAAGAUAUGGUUGACGCAAGUUCCGUGACGAGCCAGAGUGAAUGGAUGCAGCAACUGGCCAACUUUGUAAUCAUCAUCAACAACAACAUUCGACCUUUUCACCUGAACAUCCUGAAAGGCUUUGAUGAGGAUGAUGGCACCAGCUAUUACUGUCUGGUCAACACUUGUGACAAUGCAGUCACACGCCUCUCUACAGACUACUCGGUCAAUGAACUGGAACUUUUCAAGUUGUUUCUCGACCGUAUUAUGAGCUCAAACGAUGCAUCAGUUGGAUCUGUUCAGGCCCUGAACCUGACUCAUGAAUUGGAAAAAAAGAUGAGCAAAGACGAUGCUCAGCGUUUCUUUGAUCGGAUGGUGAAUGAAAAGUGGUUGAAAAGGACAAUACGUGGCAAACUGCAGCUGUCAACACGAAGCAUCCUUGAGUUGGACAAUCAUAUUCGAAAAAUGUACCCAGAUUUGGUGGAACUGUGCAACAUCUGCAACCGUUUAUGUCUGCAGGGUCAGUCGUGUCCAAAGUGCAUGGCAAAGUUGCAUAUCUUCUGUGCAAAGCGUUACUUUGAAAACCAGGCAGAACCAAAAUGUCCAAAAUGUUACACUCCUUGGACCAACACAAAUCAAAACCGAGAAUCUGUGCGUCGCUCCUCUCGCCGAAAUACACCUAUGUCAUAUGAACAAAUGGAAGAAUAAACUGUAAGAUGGGGAAGAAAAACAUGUUUGUAAAAUAUUGGUUCUCUUUCUGGCUUUCUUCUGCAGAAUUUGCAAACAGUUAUGGCUGAAUAUCAGUCCUUCUCUGCUACUGUCCCCUUUUGUUCUGUUAAUCUUCCUAUUAAAUUUUUUUCAAGUCCCUUACUCUCAGGUGAUAUUGUACUAUGUCCAAUGUAAAUUACAUCCUGAUGUGUUCAACUGUUCUCUCAACCAUAAAAUUUGCUCCAUCACUCUUAA